Molecule: ribosomal RNA, 493 nt
Filed under: uncultured bacterium
Lineage: Bacteria
Description: bacterial SSU rRNA
Rfam family: Bacterial small subunit ribosomal RNA
Source: RNAcentral
AUUGAACGCUGGCGGCAUGCCUAACACAUGCAAGUCGAACGGCAGCGCGGGCUUCGGCCUGGCGGCGAGUGGCGGACGGGUGAGGAAUACAUAGGAAUCUGCCCAGUCGUGGGGGAUAACCCGGGGAAACCCGGACUAAUACCGCAUACGACGGUGACGUGAAAGCAGGGGACCUUCGGGCCUUGCGCGAUUGGAUGAGCCUAUGUCGGAUUAGCUAGUUGGCGGGGUAAAGGCCCACCAAGGCGACGAUCCGUAGCUGGUCUGAGAGGAUGAUCAGCCACACUGGGACUGAGACACGGCCCAGACUCCUACGGGAGGCAGCAGUGGGGAAUAUUGGACAAUGGGCGCAAGCCUGAUCCAGCAAUGCCGCGUGGGUGAAGAAGGCCUCGGGUUGUAAGCCUUUGUACGGAGAACUCCUCUAUUCUUAGAGGCCUGACGGUACCAGAGGAAUAAGCACCGGCUAACUCCGUGCCAGCAGCCGCGGUAAUGUCGA